GAUGAACGCUGGCGGCGUGCCUAAUACAUGCAAGUCGAGCGAACAGACGAGGAGCUUGCUCCUCUGACGUUAGCGGCGGACGGGUGAGUAACAUGUGGAUAACUUACCUAUAAGACUGGGAUAACUUCGGGACACCGGAGCUAAUACCGGAGAAUAUAGUGAACCGCAUGGUUCAAUAGUGAAAGACGGUUUUGCUGUUACUUAUAGACGGAUCCGCGCCGGAUUAGCUAGUUGGUAAGGUAACGGCUUACCAAGGAAACGAUGCGUAGCCGACCUGAGAGGGUGAUCAGCCACACUGGAACUGAGACACGGUCCAGACUCCUACGGGAGGCAGCAGUGGGGAAUCUUCCGCAAUGGGCGAAAGCCUGACGGAGCAACGCCGCGUGUGUGAUGAAGGUCUUCGGGUCGUAAGACUCUGUUAUUAGGGAAGAACAAAUGUGUAAGUAACUAUGCACGGCUUGACGGUACCUAAUCAGAAAGCCCCGGCUAACUACGUG
RNAcentral lists this ribosomal RNA (497 nucleotides) under uncultured bacterium. RNAcentral describes it as "partial 16S ribosomal RNA". It matches the Rfam family "Bacterial small subunit ribosomal RNA", at positions 28 to 507 of the family's 1533-position model. The record is from RNAcentral.